ACCUUACCUGGGCUAGAAUGCCUUUGCCAUCCUGGGAAACCGGGAGUUCCUUCGGGACGAAGUGCAAGGUGCUGCAUGGUUGUCGUCAGCUCGUGCCGUGAGGUGUUGGGUUAAGUCCCGCAACGAGCGCAACCCUUAUUCUUAGUUGCCAGCAUGUAAUGGUGGGGACUCUAAGAAGACUGCCUGCGCAAGCAGAGAGGAAGGAGGGGAUGACGUCAAAUCAUCAUGGCCCUUACGCCCAGGGCUACACACGUGCUACAAUGGCGCAUACAGAGGGUUGCUACCUGGUAACAGGAUGCCAAUCUCAAAAAGUGCGUCUCAGUUCGGAUUGAGGUCUGCAACUCGACCUCAUGAAGGUGGAAUCGCUAGUAAUCGCGCAUCAGCAAUGGCGCGGUGAAUACGUUCCCGGACUCUUGUACGACACCGCCCGUCAAGCCAUGAGGAGUUGGGAGGACCUGAAGACAGUAACCGUNCUAGGAGCUGUUUAGGCGUUACAACCAGCGCACUGGGGCUAAGUCGUAACAUAGGUAACCGUA
This 536-nucleotide ribosomal RNA is filed under the name uncultured Bacteroidota bacterium. RNAcentral's name for it is "bacterial SSU rRNA". It matches the Rfam family "Bacterial small subunit ribosomal RNA", at positions 968 to 1504 of the family's 1533-position model. The record is from RNAcentral. Lineage: Bacteria; Pseudomonadati; Bacteroidota.